AUCUUCAGGGCGGGGUGCAAUUCCCCACCGGCAGUAUAGUCUGCGAGCGGCGUUGUCCGCAUGAUUCGGUGCAAUUCCGAAACCGACGGUAUAGUCCGGAUGAAAGAAGAU
Molecule: non-coding RNA, 111 nt
Filed under: bovine gut metagenome
Also listed under: 1 other name
Description: FMN riboswitch (RFN element)
Rfam family: FMN riboswitch aptamer (RFN element)
About the family: The RFN element is a highly conserved domain that is found frequently in the 5'-untranslated regions of prokaryotic mRNAs that encode for flavin mononucleotide (FMN) biosynthesis and transport proteins. This element is a metabolite-dependent riboswitch that directly binds FMN in the absence of proteins.
Source: RNAcentral